Long non-coding RNA from Lolium perenne, 4020 nucleotides. RefSeq lists it as uncharacterized. The record is from RefSeq and is a predicted model, not a curated record. Lineage: Eukaryota; Viridiplantae; Streptophyta; Magnoliopsida; Poales; Poaceae.
AAAGUGAACACACCCACCCAACCUCGAUUCCCCAUUCCUCCAGCGCCCGCGCAACCCCAACCUCACCGGCGAAGCGCUCGCCGGCCACCAUCCACCCGAUUAGCUCCCCGUCUCCACUUCCCUGCUCCCCAAUCUUGGAUACCGCGAGCGGCUCAUCUGUCGGCUCGCCGUCCAGGACGACGCGGCUCCGGCGGAAAGGCACAGGAUGGGCCUCGCCGUUCGGUUCACCGGCCGCAUCCGUCGCUGCUCUUACGCGGAAUCAAGCGCCGCUCCUGGUCGUCCCAGGGCACCGGCCGCCUCCAAUCGAUGGAUGGAGAGGGGGCUUCCACCGUCGAGGCCUUCCUACGCCAAAUGCCUUCCCCGACGACCACCACCACGACACCCCCUCCUCCCCCUUUCCCGAUUCAACGCCGUUGAACCGCUGCUCCGCCCGCCACAGACCCUAGCCCAGCCACCGGCGUUACAGAGGAGCAAUACGUCAAUGAUCGGUCUUUGCCGUCCAUGGGUAUCGCGGCGCCUCGGUGACGGGUGGGGGUGAGGCGGCAUGGCUACACUGCUGCACCAGGCGGAGCAGACAUUUCCAGCCAGUAGACCACGGCCCUUGCGGACGCCGGCGUCCUCGGGGCCUUCUUGACCACCGGCGAGCGGAUCCAGGCGCCGCGGGGUGGCUGCAACUCCGGAUAGCCCUCCUCUCAGUCAUUCCCUAUGUCAGCCGGCCUCCAACGACACCCUCACGUCCGAUUGCAGCAGCCGCGCGGGUGGUUAGCUGUAGGAGGCGGAGAGGUUGAGCGGGGAGAAGUUGGGCGGCUCGUCGGCUGGCGGCGACCUGUACAUCGGCCCACUUGCCGGCGCCGACAACCAAAGCCGCUGCCACGCCAUGUUGCCCUGCUUGCUCGGGCUUUUCGGCAUCCAGAGCGCAAGCCUCAGCGCCUAUGUUCAUGGACGUGCUUCAGCUGUUGGAAGUCGGUGCCCUCCCCAUUCUGACCUGCCACUUCUUUGCUGCUGAUUGCUGCCGCAUGCCGAGCCCAAGGGGGAGAUGAUGGUGCCGGCGCGGGUGUGGAGGAUUGGUGGUUGGUUCAGGAGGGCACCCGGCUUACGAAUUCCUCCACUCGGGAAAUCGGCGCAAGAACGACUAGGAAUGGAAUUGGCACCACCCGAAAUGGGAAUCUGGCCAAAUCCUGGAGUUGCUGUUGUCGGCGACGUCGCUGACAUGUUGCUGCACUUCCCUCCCCAACCAGUUGCUGCUGACUUGCUGACUACCCGUUGCCGUGGCUUCUGGUGCGUGUUUGGCGCGUACUGAAACCAGGGGUUUCUAUCUCGGCAUCACUCUGACUGCCGGAAUGGCUUCCCCAAGGAAGCUCCAUCGGCUCUGCAUUGUCCGGUGAGAGGAAGGACUUCGGGAACUCAACAAGGGAAUGCUGUGCGGGAGAAAGAUUCCGCCUUGCCGUUCUGCAGACUACACAGAGCUUGGCAGUGCCGACCUCCCUGAGCUCAUGCUACUGUCGGUGUCACCCAGAGCAAUAGCCGGCGUUUUCCAGGAAAAGUGCGAGACGACAAGAAGGCCGACCUGCUGCUGAUUGACUUCCUGCCGCAGCAAGGAGGUAUCAAACACAUCGCCAUGAAAGUCAAGUCUUUGUGUCGCUGAUCUUGGACAAAAAGGGUAGUGAGAUGAACAUCCUUGUCUUUGACCUAAGUGGUGAUACUUUUGAUGUUCGUAUCGUGACCAUUGCCAACGGUCGGUUUUAGAUGUUGGCCACCAAUGGUGGCAGCCUUCUUGGAGGUGAGGACUUCGACAACAGAAUCAUGAACAACUUCAUCAAGUUGAUCAAGAAGUACAAGGAAAAUCAUGCUCUUGGAAAGCUGAGGAGGGAAGCUCUGACCCAUGGCAGGUUUUGAUGAGCCGAACAAUGACAUCUUCCGCAAGGCAAUGGGACCUGUGAAGAAGGCCAUGGAUGAAGCUGGCCUUGAGAAUAGCUAGAUCCAUGAAAUUCUUCUUGUUGGUAGUAGCACGAGGAUACCAAAGGUCCAACACCUUCUCAGGGACUACUUCGACGCAAGGAGCCAAGCAAGGGUCUAUUUUGAUUUUGCGAGCACUUGCACCAAGGUGCCAAUUGCAAACUAAAUGAUCUUUCAAAUGACCUCCUCUUAGAUUCCAAAGUUUAGGUUGUUGCAUCAUAAUUUUUCGGCCUUCUUUGAUGCUUCUAUGUUUAGGACGAUUCACCAAGUGGAGCCAAGCAGGCGAGGUGGCCCACCCUGAAGCUGAACGAGAGGAUCAUGUCGUCUCUGUCAAGGAGAUACAUGGCCACACAUCCAUGAUAAUGAACUUGUUUGAUCAUGCAAAGCCGGAGAUCAAGGCUCCGCGCAUCUCCGAGCGAGAAGUUUGGCUUACCCAAGCUGCUGCUACCGCCGUCUCCCCUGACCUUCUGCUGCAUGGGAAUAAGCCCUCAUUGUAGGAAGUCGAAGAAGGACUACAGGGAGCUUGUCAGCGCCGGCCUCCCCGAGCUCAUGCCGCUAUCGGUAUCAACCCAUAGCAAUAGCCAGCUCUUUCCAGGAGAAGGGCGAGGCUACAAGGACGCCGAACUGCUGCUGAUUGACCUCCUUCCGGGACAAGGAGGAAUCGAACACACCAACAUGAAAGUCAAGUCUUCGUCUUGCUGGUGGGACAAGGAGGAAUCGAACACACCGACAUGAAAGUCAAGUCUUCGUCUUGCUGAUCUUGGACAAAAAGGGCAGGGAGAAGAACAUCCUUGUCUUUGACCUAAGUGGUGUUACUUUUGAUGUCUGACCACUGCCAACGGGUGGCUUUUAGGUGUUGGCCACCAAUGGUGGCACCCUUCUUGGAGGUGAAGAUUUCGACCAUAGAAUCAUGAACUACUUCAUCAAGUUGAUCAAGAAGUACAACAAGGAAAACCGUGCUCUUGGAAAGCUGAGGAGGGAAGAUGUGGAUCAAGCACAUCGGUGGCGCUUAUAGGCUUCUAUGGUCAUGAUAGCCGGGAGGAUACAAGACACGAGGAAGAUCCUCGAUUACUGCCGGUGCUAGAGGACCUCCGAUCUGGUCCGAGUCGAGCUCACCUGCCUCUGUUGUAAGUUCUCGGCCUCAUCUCUUCUCCCCGUGCAGACCAGAAAACGCAAGAUUUCAUCUUGCUCGUGCAUAUAAGGACCUUGGUUGGUCAUGCAAAGCCGGAGAUCAAGGCUCUGUGCAUAUCCGAGUAAGAAGGCUGUCCUACACAAGCUAGUGCUACCGUCGUCUUCCCUGACCCCUGCUGUACGGCCAGGAUGACCUCAAGCACGAGGUGUCCAGGAUGGACACACCCACUGGCAUCACCUUGAAGAACACUUUGGGGAUAUCUGAUAUCUACAGACAGAUGCGGUGCACUGGCAAUGCCGCUGUCGCAGGGCGGUAGUUCAUCCAGGUCCUCGUCUACUUGCUUAACUUGCCGGUGUCCUGCACCGCUAGUUCCAGAUUAUGCCCAUGGCCAUCGAUCCUCCCAUCUCUGGAUAGAGUCAUCUAGGUAUUUUCCUUCACAUGUUUCUCUUCUAUGGGUUGGUUAGUAUUCUCAAUGGAAUUUAUGAUAGCCGCGGCUGCCUGGGAAUAAGUCCUCAAUGAAGGCUCUUCACCAGUUAUGACUUAUUUUAGUACGGAUGCAACUACAGCUUGAAAGAAGAACACUUGCCACCUAGCAGAGUGUCGCCCUGCUGCAUAAAACUACCUGAGUUCAUCACUAAGAAGAGAGAUUGCAGAAACAAUGUUCACUCCCUAUUUGGAAGGCAUGAAGCAUGACAGGUUGCAGAGUGGGGCUGUGCUCGCCAAGCCGUUUGUUGAUGUUUGCAAGCAGAUCCUACCUAUCUUGGUUCCUCUCUCCGCCUAGUGUUUUGCCAUGAAUUUUGUAUGUCAUGUGUUGGAGUGAAUCUAGGAUAGCUGGUGAGCAAUUGGUUGUACUUGGAGAUGUGCAAUUUUAAAUGAGCAAUGAAUAAUCAAUUGUUGGACCUUUGUCACAGGCAGAUGAUUUUCUUGGUUUA